Molecule: ribosomal RNA, 493 nt
Filed under: uncultured bacterium
Lineage: Bacteria
Description: partial 16S ribosomal RNA
Rfam family: Bacterial small subunit ribosomal RNA
Source: RNAcentral
GACGAACGCUGGCGGCGUGCUUAACACAUGCAAGUCGAACGGAAAGGCCUGCUUUCCCUUGUGGAUUGCGGGUACUCGAGUGGCGAACGGGUGAGUAACACGUGAGUGAUCUGCCCCCAACUUGGGUAUAAGCCUGGGAAACUGGGUCUAAUUCCCGAUAGGACUGCAGGGUGGUGCCUUUGGUGGAAAACGAUUUUCUAGUGGUUGGGGAUGAGCUCGCGGCCUAUCAGCUUGUUGGUGGGGUAAUGGCCUACCAAGGCGGCGACGGGUAGCCGGCCUGAGAGGGUGGACGGCCACAUUGGGACUGGGAUACGGCCCAGACUCCGACGGGAGGCAGCAGUGGGGAAUAUUGCACGAUGGGCGGAAGCCUGAUGCAGCGACGCCGCGUGGGGGAUGACGGCCUUCGGGUUGUAAACUCCUUUCGACAGCGAGGAAGCCACCUGGUUGGAAGGGUGGUGACGGUAGUGGUAGAAGAAGCACCGGCUAACUACGU